UGCCAGCCGCCGCGGUAAUACGGAGGGUGCAAGCGUUGUUCGGAAUCAUUGGGCGUAAAGCGGGUGUAGGCGGCUUGGUAAGUCGGGUGUGAAAGCCCUGGGCUCAACCCAGGAAUUGCAUUCGAAACUGCCUCGCUAGAGUCUCGGAGAGGGUGGCGGAAUUCCCGGUGUAGGGGUGAAAUUCGUAGAUAUCGGGAGGAACACCAGUGGCGAAGGCGGCCACCUGGACGAUGACUGACACUGAGACCCGAAAGCGUCGGCAGCAAACAGGAUCAGAUA
This 279-nucleotide ribosomal RNA is filed under the name uncultured bacterium. Its description in RNAcentral is "partial 16S ribosomal RNA". It matches the Rfam family "Bacterial small subunit ribosomal RNA", at positions 506 to 784 of the family's 1533-position model. The record is from RNAcentral.